AUUACAGGCUGGACUAUCGCUCCUUCUCACGAAGGGGAGGAAAGUCCGGACAGCGCAGAGCAUUGUACCGGUUAAGAGCCGGGUUCAUCCACCAGCAGCAAUGCUGGUAAAGAUGAAACAGCAAGUGCCACAGAAAAUGACCGCUCCGGUCCGCCGUAGCUUCCGCAACCGUAUGCCAUGCCAGGUUCUUUUGAGAACCCGGCAGGAGUGCCGUUGCUGACGCUACGUCGGCCGGAGUAAGGGUGAAAAAGUGAGGUAAGAGCUCACGGCUUUAUAUGGUAACAUAUAUUGCGGGUAAACCUUGCAUGCUGAAAUGCCACAUAUACCAUCGCCCGAGGGUGACUCGCCCGAUGAUGGAGGGUAGGCAGAUUGAGCCUUCGAAGUAAUUCGUUGGACAGAUAAAUGAUAGUCCCCGACAGAAUCCGGCUUACAGGCCUGUAAUAUUU
RNAcentral lists this RNase P RNA (446 nucleotides) under Chitinophagaceae bacterium. RNAcentral's name for it is "RNase P RNA component class A". It matches the Rfam family "Bacterial RNase P class A". Rfam says of the family: Ribonuclease P (RNase P) is a ubiquitous endoribonuclease, found in archaea, bacteria and eukarya as well as chloroplasts and mitochondria. The record is from RNAcentral. Lineage: Bacteria; Pseudomonadati; Bacteroidota; Chitinophagia; Chitinophagales; Chitinophagaceae.